Molecule: transfer RNA, 71 nt
Filed under: Chelonia mydas (Green sea turtle)
Lineage: Eukaryota; Metazoa; Chordata; Testudines; Cheloniidae
Rfam family: tRNA
About the family: Transfer RNA (tRNA) molecules are approximately 80 nucleotides in length. Their secondary structure includes four short double-helical elements and three loops (D, anti-codon, and T loops).
Source: Rfam by way of RNAcentral
GACAGUGUGGUCUAGUGGGCAGGGCACUGGUCCAGCACCAUGAGCCAGGGGUUCUAUUCCUGUCUCUGUCG